This 205-nucleotide long non-coding RNA is filed under the name Ananas comosus (pineapple). Its description in RNAcentral is "long non-coding RNA (ACOM_LNC038421)". The record is from RNAcentral. Lineage: Eukaryota; Viridiplantae; Streptophyta; Magnoliopsida; Poales; Bromeliaceae.
UUUAAGUUUCGUACUAAUAAUUUUUAUAAUUGAAUCACUGACUGUAGCAAGUGACAAGGGUUUGGUGGUUGGUAUCUGAGACCGAAAUUUGAAUCCUAGUUGCUUCACAUUUCUAGCUAAGUUUAUUUAUAAAUAAAAUAAAUGAAUCGGAUAGCGUGCUACUUAUCUUUCCAAAAAUAAAAAAAUUUAUAAUUAAAUCCAAAAC